This is a long non-coding RNA of Corythoichthys intestinalis (scribbled pipefish), 1453 nucleotides long. RefSeq lists it as uncharacterized. The transcript has 9 exons. The record is from RefSeq and is a predicted model, not a curated record. Lineage: Eukaryota; Metazoa; Chordata; Actinopteri; Syngnathiformes; Syngnathidae.
CUCUCUCAGUACCCUGCGCCGCUCUUCUCAGUACCCAUCCCGCAGACAGGAAAUGACGCAAUACCGCAGCUCUCAAUCCCCUCAGACCGGAAAUGUCGUCAACCCUUGCGACGAAAACAAGUUACGUUAUUUCACCUCUCGCGAAGAAAACACGGUAAGUGGCCGCACUGAAAAAAAGUUUUUAAAAGCGUAUGCAUGUUUAAAAAUGUUAAAUAGUUAAACAACACUUGCGGUGAAAAUAUGAAGUGUUUAUUCUGAGUUGAAAAGACCGUACUUAUAUCUAGUAUUCUUAAUGUAAUUUAAAUAAUGUCUUCCUUUACUAACUGCAUGUGACUUUGCUCUACUUAUAUUGUUUAAUACGUACUGAUGAAUUCAGCAGCGAAUUGGCUAAUGCUGCUAAUGCUUUUUACAUUUUUUCCCCCUCAAUGAACAGUCUUCUUUGUGUAGGUUUCAUUAUAUUGCACUCUUAUUUUUCAUUAUGUACAUGCCUGCAAUUCGCAGCUCGCUGUUUUUGUUGUUGUAUGGUAUUGUUGUUUUGCCUUCAUUUGUUUUGUCUGGUCCUUUGUAGUUUGAAUGUUGUCACAUGAUCCAAAUAGGACAAGCCCCUUGAUCACCACCCCAUUGGGAAGAAACUAAGUCACGACCCCCAAAUGGUAGUCUUCCCAUGCAGAUACAGGGAUGUCACACAGAUCCAAAUGGAAACAUCGAACACUGUAAAACCCACUGUGCAGACAGGACCAAUGGUGACAAUAUAAGACCAUGCCGAGCUUCGUGGACGGUUCAAACUCAUCCUGCCCAGGAACGGCUGAAAACGUUGACAGUCAAUCAACAGGGGGACAUGGAAAGAGAGGAUUGGAAGUGAAAUAGAGGGUUUUCCGGGACAGCCAUAGGGGAAGGACUGUGGCAUCUUCAUGUUGAUGGUAGACUGAUAUGCCAACUCUGAGGAAGUGGUGGUGUAUAUUGAUAGCGGACAAUUUCAAACUUGGGUGCAUGCCACAGGAAAGAGUUUGCCCAUUGGACAGAUGAGGCAAAAGCAUUACUGCAGGGUGAAGUGCCACCAGUCUAUCAGUUACAGAAGUGAAAUUUGAAUAUAAUUGCUGAGGAAGAGGUGCAACCACAGCUCCUUCAAGUUAGUGGUGGCCCACUCCAAAAAGAUAUGGCGGGAAAAAAUGUUUUGGUAAAAGGAUUGUGCAAGACAGCACAAAAGCCUCGGACAGGGCUAGGGGGAAAAAAAAAAAUCAAUGCAGUAGGAGUUCCCAAGCAUCCUGCAGAUGGAAGAGGAUGAGCACGAACUACAAUGUCUUGGAGCCAUUCAAGUUCUGUUUCAACCAUCUGGAAGAUGGAUUUACCUUUUUUGAGGAGAUUGUUGACUAAAGAAAAUAUCUAUUCUCUCAAUAAUAAUAAAAAAUAAUAAAACUAAAAAAAUAAAGUUUACCACAUCAGAACUGGUUGU